Molecule: ribosomal RNA, 465 nt
Filed under: uncultured bacterium
Lineage: Bacteria
Description: partial 16S ribosomal RNA
Rfam family: Bacterial small subunit ribosomal RNA
Source: RNAcentral
CCUACGGGAGGCAGCAGUGGGGAAUAUUGGGCAAUGGAGGCAACUCUGACCCAGCAACGCAGCGUGAAGGAUGAAGGUCUUCGGAUUGUAAACCUCUGUCAGCAGGGAAGAACGGUCACUGUGCUAAUCAGCAGUGAAUUGACGGUACCUGCAAAGGAAGCACCGGCUAACUCCGUGCCAGCAGCCGCGGUAAUACGGAGGGUGCGAGCGUUAAUCGGAAUUACGGGGCGUAAAGCGCUCGUAGGCGGUAGGUCAAGUCAAGGGUGAAAUCCCCGCGCUCAACGUGGGAACUGCCUUUGAAACUGGCAAACUGGAGUGUUUGAGAGGAUAGUGGAAUUCCAGGUGUAGGGGUGAAAUCCGUAGAUAUCUGGAGGAACAUCAGUGGCGAAGGCGACUAUCUGGCACAUAACUGACGCUGAGGAGCGAAAGCGUGGGUAGCAAACAGGAUUAGAUACCCUGGUAGUC